Molecule: ribosomal RNA, 469 nt
Filed under: uncultured bacterium
Lineage: Bacteria
Description: partial 16S ribosomal RNA
Rfam family: Bacterial small subunit ribosomal RNA
Source: RNAcentral
GACGAACGCUGGCGGCGUGCUUAACACAUGCAAGUCGAACGGAAAGGCCCUGCUUGCAGGGUGCUCGAGUGGCGAACGGGUGAGUAACACGUGGGUGAUCUGCCCCUUACUUUGGGAUAAGCCUGGGAAACUGGGGCUAAUACUGGAUAGGACCAUGCUGCAUGUGGUGUGGUGGGAAGAUUAGUUUCGGUAAGGGAUGAGCUCGCGGCCUAUCAGCUUGUUGGUGGGGUAAUGGCCUACCAAGGCGUCGACGGGUAGCCGGCCUGAGAGGGUGGACGGCCACAUUGGGACUGAGAUACGGCCCAGACUCCUACGGGAGGCAGCAGUGGGGAAUAUUGCACAAUGGGCGCAAGCCUGAUGCAGCGACGCCGCGUGGGGGAUGACGGCCUUCGGGUUGUAAACUCCUUUCAGCCAUGACGAAGCCCUUGUGGUGACGGUAGUGGUAGAAGAAGCACCGGCUAACUACGUG